This 305-nucleotide ribosomal RNA is filed under the name uncultured bacterium. Its description in RNAcentral is "bacterial SSU rRNA". It matches the Rfam family "Bacterial small subunit ribosomal RNA", at positions 333 to 655 of the family's 1533-position model. The record is from RNAcentral.
UUUUUCCUACGGGAGGCAGCAGUGGGGAAUAUUGCACAAUGGGGGAAACCCUGAUGCAGCGACGCCGCGUGAGCGAUGAAGUAUUUCGGUAUGUAAAGCUCUAUCAGCAGGGAAGAAAAUGACGGUACCUGACUAAGAAGCCCCGGCUAACUACGUGCCAGCAGCCGCGGUAAUACGUAGGGGGCAAGCGUUAUCCGGAUUUACUGGGUGUAAAGGGAGCGUAGACGGCUGCGCAAGUCAGAUGUGAAAACUCAGGGCUCAACCCUGAGCCUGCAUUUGAAACUGUGUUUCUUGAGUGCUGGAGG